Molecule: long non-coding RNA, 291 nt
Organism: Ailuropoda melanoleuca (giant panda)
Lineage: Eukaryota; Metazoa; Chordata; Mammalia; Carnivora; Ursidae
Exons: 3
Source: RefSeq, a predicted model, not a curated record
GUAGUUAUUACUUGAAGGAACAGUUAAUUUUAACUGUUAAAAUUAGUAAAGUGUCUUGGAAGAUGCCAGAUUAAGAAGAUCCUGGGCCGGGUGGCGAGACCAUUUGAGACAAGGAAACAGCUUAACAAGGUUUCUUAUUUAUGGAUGAAUGCAACCCUCAACUGAUUCAUCUGCAAAGAAAAUGUUGACCUUUCAGUGUCUGAGAGGAGGCAACCCAGCUGGUGGAAAACAGGAUAAUAAUUGGAUGCACAGAUUUUAUUUGACAGAGAGAGAGACAGCCAGCGAGAGAGG